This 492-nucleotide ribosomal RNA is filed under the name uncultured bacterium. RNAcentral's name for it is "partial 16S ribosomal RNA". It matches the Rfam family "Bacterial small subunit ribosomal RNA", at positions 29 to 507 of the family's 1533-position model. The record is from RNAcentral.
AGUGAACGCUGGCGGUAGGCCUAACACAUGCAAGUCGAACGGCAGCACAGUAAGAGCUUGCUCUUACGGGUGGCGAGUGGCGGACGGGUGAGGAAUACAUCGGAAUCUACUUUUUCGUGGGGGAUAACGUAGGGUAACUUACGCUAAUACCGCAUACGACCUACGGGUGAAAGCAGGGGAUCUUCGGACCUUGCGCGAUUGAAUGAGCCGAUGUCGGAUUAGCUAGUUGGCGGGGUAAAGGCCCACCAAGGCGACGAUCCGUAGCUGGUCUGAGAGGAUGAUCAGCCACACUGGAACUAAGACACGGUCCAGACUCCUACGGGAGGCAGCAGUGGGGAAUAUUGGACAAUGGGCGCAAGCCUGAUCCAGCCAUACCGCGUGGGUGAAGAAGGCCUUCGGGUUGUAAAGCCCUUUUGUUGGGAAAGAAAAGCAGCAGGUUAAUACCCCGCUGUUCUGACGGUACCCAAAGAAUAAGCACCGGCUAACUUCGUG